AAUAGCUCAUUACAACAGCCGUUGUUUCUUGGAUCUCUCCUCUACUUGGAUAUCUCUGGUAAUUCUAGAGCUAAUACAUGCAUCAAGACCCGACGCAAGGACGGUCGCAAUUAUUAGAACAAGACCAUCCGGUCUUCGGACCGUUCUUUGGUGACUCUGAAUAACUGAGCAAAUCACAUGGUCUCGUACCGGUGAUGUAUCUUUCAAGUGUCUGCCUUAUCAACUUUCGAUGGUAGUUUAUGUGCCUACCAUGGUUGUUACGGGUAACGGAGAAUCAGGGUUUGACUCCGGAGAGGGAGCCUGAGAAACGGCUACCACUUCUAAGGAAGGCAGCAGGCGCGCAAAUUACCCAUUCUCGGUAUGAGGAGGUAGUGACGAAAAAUACCAAGCCGAGGCUCAUUGAGUUUCGGCAUUGGAAUGAGAACAAUCUAAAUCUUUUAACGAGGAUCUAGUGGAGGGCAAGUCUGGUGCCAGCAGCCGCGGUAAUUCCAGCUCCGCAAGUGUAUAUCUAUAUUGCUGAGGUUAAAAAGCUCGUAGUUGGAUCUGCGUGUUAGCAUCUGGUGUGGUCUCUGAUCACUACUGGAAUGCAGCACAGUUGUGUUGGUUGGCCACUGAUGCUCUUCAUCGGGUGUCAGUUGGUGACUGAUGAGUUUACUUUGAACAAAUUAGAGUGCUCAAAACAGGCGUUUUGCUUGUAUAUGUCUGCAUGGAAUAAUAGAAUAAGACCUCUGGUCUAUUUUGUUGGUUUUCGGAUGAGAGAUAAUGAUUAAGAGGGACUGACGGGGGCAU
This 789-nucleotide ribosomal RNA is filed under the name Monhystera sp. 2 JS-2018. RNAcentral's name for it is "SSU rRNA". It matches the Rfam family "Eukaryotic small subunit ribosomal RNA", at positions 92 to 891 of the family's 1831-position model. Lineage: Eukaryota; Metazoa; Nematoda; Chromadorea; Monhysterida; Monhysteridae. The record is from RNAcentral.